This is a long non-coding RNA of Phacochoerus africanus (Common warthog), 866 nucleotides long. RefSeq lists it as uncharacterized. The transcript is spliced from 4 exons. The record is from RefSeq and is a predicted model, not a curated record. Lineage: Eukaryota; Metazoa; Chordata; Mammalia; Artiodactyla; Suidae.
AGAUAAUCAAGUACAGAUGGUGUGUUAGUACUACUUAGGUAGUGAUGGGCAACAGGAAAAUAAGAUGAGAGGAAUAAGCAGAUAUAGUGAGCUGUUUAAAUCUGGGUGGCAGUAUGCUGAAAGCUCUCUCUUAAAGUCCUUCCAAUGGUGGAGAAUAAGGUGAUAACCCCAAUAUUAAUAAUAACAUUGGCAUAUGAAGAAAAACCCUAUGCUACCUCUCUUACCUCAUCCAUUGCUUGAAUUGACCAGCUGAUUUGGUUUCAAAGCCUGAGUUCUUUUCCAUUAUUGAAGCUCCAUUUGAUUUUCUUUCUCUUGGUUGACAGGGACAUCCUUCCUGAUUGGAGGAAGACCAUUUUUUAAGACAAAAUAAUAUGAGUUGCUGCUCUCUUCUGCUAGGACCUAUACCAGAGUUAACAUGAAAGCUUCACAUGUGAGAUAAAUGCACUCAAAGACUCCUCACAAGUAGCUCUUUGGAGCUUCAGAUGUGAAAUGGAUCAUUCCUCAAGCUGUAAUAGACCCUUUGGUGAAGCUCUUCAAUCAAACCUGAGAAUUCAAGACGUUUUGUAGCAUCCUAAACAGAAGGAUAUUGAAGGGAGCUGAUUCUGCUUUGAUCCUUGUGCUUGUUGUCAAAGCGCUUGGGAUUGAAGAGACUGUUGGCUACAAUUGACUGUGACAAUUAGGAGAUGAUCAGAGCCCUAGAGUGGAGCACUUAAAGGGGUCACACUCUACGCAGGCAUAUGAAGGUCCCAGCCUAGGUAAAGCUGAAUUGGAGCUGCAGCUGCCAACCUACACUACAGCCAUGGCAACUCGGGAUCAGAGCUGCAUAUGUGACCUACACCACUGCUCAUGGCAAUGCUGGAUCCUUA